Molecule: long non-coding RNA, 2335 nt
Organism: Hypanus sabinus (Atlantic stingray)
Lineage: Eukaryota; Metazoa; Chordata; Chondrichthyes; Myliobatiformes; Dasyatidae
Exons: 3
Source: RefSeq, a predicted model, not a curated record
GGUCUUUCUGUAGGAAAUGCAAAUACAGUAUUACUAGAUCACAUAGUGAUACAUCGAGGAUUGCUCAAGUGUUUCCUCCGCUGUCUUGAGUUAAUUGACAUCACACCACCGUGUCACACAGGAUAACUCGAAAAAGUUAGAAUCUUUCAUGUGAAAAGAGAGUAUCCACUCGAUGGUAUUAUAAUUAUUUCCUCGCCUUUCAGUAGCAACGUUCGUAAAUUAAAAUCCCUAAUGGUCGCUCCAAUUGAAAAGUUUUAAUAUGUAUCACAAUCUUGAAGAUAUUAUUGCGGGACUUAUUGAAGAAAAGGGCUUUCUUACCAGUAAAAGACUCACUUCAAAUUCCAAGGUGCAGACUUGAUAUCUCAUCAAGUGGAAACUUCCUGAUCUGGAUUCAACUUCAUUCCUACCUCACCUGAAGCCUCGAUUUGUAGUUCCUUUUCCAGAUCCUGCCCCCUAUACCUGAACCUGCACUAUUUACCAAUAUCCCUACACUAUUCACAGCCAGUGCCACCAAGCACCACUCCUCGAGCCAGCCAAACUCUUCUAACGCUCCUAAGCCCUCCAUCCCCCACCCAUGCUCUGUUGUGAAUGUGAAUUAAUCUUGCUACAGCUAUUUAAGUUGGGGGGUGGGGGUGAUUCUCUCUCUGGUAAUUUAUGGUCCAUGCACAACACUGAAGAAUUUCAAAACAAAAAAUAAUUCUACUUUACCUUGAUGUACAAAAAUGAUGGAGGCUGAAUUUUGCCCAUUGCUUAUUUCCUUCAAAUUGGCUGAAUACACACAUCUACCAACAUACCAGAGUUAAACCAAAUGACUUCCAGCAAACAUCGAGUGACACAUGUAAAGCUACCUAAGUUACCAUGACCCCUGCUGGCUUGGAGGAUGAUCCACAAUAAUGUAUUUGUUGUCUGCUACUUUAGCAUCCACAGAUUGGAUAAGCCUUGCACCUACAGGAACAAAAGUACAUAUGAUGUGUUCCUCCAGAAGUCUCUGCUGCAGUGCCUAGUGCAACUUCUUUGCCAUUUUAUUUCUUGUGCUGGCAAGCGUGAAAUGUCAAUGGUCACUGUGUGACCAAAGUUAAAGCUGGGAACAGCAGAGAUCAGGGAUGUGGGCAAGCAUUAUGGCUAGAGCCAUGGUCUAGAGCUAAGGUCUGGCAUGAGGCAAAACCAGAACUGCAGACAGGAACAUUGUGGAGAAGGAGCUUACAUAGCUGUUACCUCCAUAGUGAGACAGGUGAAUGCCCAAUGCAGGCCAUAUCAUCAAAGCUAGCAGCUUUAGUGAUAACCGCAUUUUUAUCGUUAUCCACAUGAGGUCAAUGCUGCAACUCCUUAUGAAUUAUGAGGGUUUAAUGUAAAUGCAUUCAAGUUAUAUUUAUGCAUUACCCCACCCUAGCUCCCUCCAAGUUAAUUCAAUAUUAUUUAACAAAAAUUUUUAAAUAUACUAGGGAUGUUUUGCCUAAGCAGAUUAGGAUCUUAUGCUGUGUACGGUCUGAUUGCAGUAUACUUACAGGCAUAGAGUACAGAUGAUCCAUUAUCUGCUCCUAGCUGUUAUCUUUAUCGUCAGUCACCUCUGACACCACGAGGAGACUGAGAGCAUCCGUGUUUUCACGCUACAUCUCUGAUUUGAAAUUAACAGUGUAUUUAUAUGCUCUCAGAGUUAAAGCUCAUGAAUUUAUGGGGAAACCAUUUGAGGCAGUCAUUUUAUUUUAUGGAAAGAUUUGUACUCUGUGUAGAUGGUACAAUGAGGUCCCUCAUAAUACUUAAGGAAUCUCUGCACACCAAGGAUGAUGGCUAAACAUUUUUUUCCUGCUGUCCUGGUUCCACAACAUGUACCCUAUUUGCUUUUGAGAAACAUUUUCCAUUUGUUUGAAGGGCCAUAGUUCCGUAUUGCAAGAUAUGAUUGAACUCCUCGUGUCAGGCUCGGUCCCGAUCUGACACCUCCCAGAUUGCACAUGCAGGCACUUCCUAGUCACCAUCCAGCUAAUAUAAUUCACCUGCCACUCAUUCCAGAAUCAUUACCUGCAGCUUAUUUAGCCCCAGUUUUCAUCCAAAAUCUUUGUUCACUCAUCAAACCAGCUAGCCUCAAAUAGUUGCUCCUAACUUUUACUCUCUCUGCCUAAAGUUUACCUGUUGUGUUUAGUUACUGUUCUCUCUUAUUUUUUGGUCUCUUAUUUUGUGGUUUGCUAUUUUGAAGUCUAUUAUUAAAGAUAUCAUUCACCGAUGUAUCGUCUCCACUGCUCGAUCUUUGGGUCAAGCUUCCUCUACAUUUCCUGACGAGAUGAGUGAAUCAACGAUUCAUCCAGCAGGAUAAGCUCACCUAAAGGAAGUUGUCUACUGA